GGACUCUAAGCUCAGUUGGUUAGAGCGUUGGCUGUUCUAAAACCUUCUUGCUAGCGUGGGUUCGAAACCCACCGAGGCCG
RNAcentral lists this transfer RNA (80 nucleotides) under Schistocephalus solidus. It matches the Rfam family "tRNA". Rfam says of the family: Transfer RNA (tRNA) molecules are approximately 80 nucleotides in length. The record is from Rfam by way of RNAcentral. Lineage: Eukaryota; Metazoa; Platyhelminthes; Cestoda; Diphyllobothriidea; Diphyllobothriidae.